CCUACGGGGGACAGCAGUGAGGAAUAUUGGUCAAUGGACGAGAGUCUGAACCAGCCAAGUAGCGUGAAGGAUGACUGCCCUAUGGGUUGUAAACUUCUUUUAUAUGGGAAUAAAACAGGGUAUGCAUACACUCUUGUAGGUACCAUAUGAAUAAGGAUCGGUCAAACCCGUGCCAGCAGACGGGGUAAUACGGAGGAGCAGACGGUUAUCCGGAUUUUUUGGGUUUAAAGAGAGCGUAGGUGGAUUGUUAAGUCAGUUGUGAAAGUUUGCGGGCAAACGGUAGAAUUGCCGUUGAAACUGGCAGUCUUGAGUGCAGUAGAGGUGGGCGGAAUGCGUGGUGUAGCGGUGAAAUGCAUAGAUAUCACGAAGAACUCCGAUUGCGAAGGCAGCUCACUGGACUGCAACUGACACUGAUGCUCGAAAGUGUGGGUAUCAAACAGGAUUAGAUACCCUUGUAGUC
This 460-nucleotide ribosomal RNA is filed under the name uncultured bacterium. RNAcentral's name for it is "partial 16S ribosomal RNA". It matches the Rfam family "Bacterial small subunit ribosomal RNA", at positions 338 to 795 of the family's 1533-position model. The record is from RNAcentral.